Molecule: non-coding RNA, 78 nt
Organism: Potamilus streckersoni
Lineage: Eukaryota; Metazoa; Mollusca; Bivalvia; Unionida; Unionidae
Source: the annotation of a GenBank genome assembly
GCUCUGAUGGCUCAGUGGUUAGAGCGUCUGCCUAUGAUGCAGCAGGUCGCAGGUUUAAACCCCAACCGAGUCAUACCA